RNAcentral lists this ribosomal RNA (1479 nucleotides) under uncultured Bordetella sp. Its description in RNAcentral is "partial 16S-23S ribosomal RNA intergenic spacer". It matches the Rfam family "Bacterial small subunit ribosomal RNA". The record is from RNAcentral. Lineage: Bacteria; Pseudomonadati; Pseudomonadota; Betaproteobacteria; Burkholderiales; Alcaligenaceae.
AGUUCAAUCAUGGCUCAGAUUGAACGCUGGCAGGAUAACUUUACAUGCAAGUCAGGCAGCGGCACGGACUUCGGUCUGGUGUGAGUGGCGAACAGGUGAGUAAUGUAUCGGAACGUGCCUAGUAGCGAGGGAUAACUGCGAAGGCGUAGCUAAUACCGCAUACGCCCUUCGGGGAAAGCGGGGACCUUCGGGCACUCGCACUAUUAGAGCGGCCGAUAUCAGUUCGCUGGUUGGUGGGGUAACGGCUCACCAGGCGACGAUCCAUGGCUGGUUUGAAGAGGACGACCAGCCACUGGGACUGAGACGGCAGACUCCUACGGGAGGCGGCAGUGGGAAUUUUGGACAAUGGGGGAAACCUGAUCCAGCCAUCCCGUGUGCAUGAAGGCCUUCGGGUUGUAAAGCACUUUUGGCAGGAAAGGAACGGCUGGGAUCAAUACCCGUGCAGCUGACGGUACCUGCAGAAUAAGCACCGGCUAACUACGUGCCAGCGGCCAUGACAAUACGUAGGGUUGCAAGCGUUAAUCGGAAUUACUGGGCGUAAGCGUGCCGAGCGGUUUCGGAAAAGAAAAGAUGCUGAAAUCCCAGGCUUAACGGAACUGCAUUUUUAACUACCAGGCUAGAGAGUGUGUCAGAGGGAAGUGGAAUUCCGCGUGUAGCAGUGAAAUGCGUAGAUAUGCGGAGGAACACCGAUGGCGAAAGAGCAGCCUCCUGGGAUAACACUGACGCUCAUGCACGAAAGCGUGGGGCAAACAGGAUUAGAUACCCUGGUAGUCCACGCCCCUAAACGAUGUCAACUAGCUGUUUGAGACCUUCGGGCCUUGGUAGCGCAACUAACGCGUGAAGUUGACCGCCUGGGGAGUGCAGUCGCAAGAUUAAAACUCAAAGGAAUUGACGGGGACCCGCACAAGCGGUGGAUGAUGUGGAUUAAUUCGAUGCAACGCGAAAAACCUUACCUACCCUUGACAUGUCUGGAAUCCCGAAGAGAUUUGGGAGUGCUCCUUAAGAGAACCCGGAACACAGGUGCUGCAUGGCUGUCGUCAGCUCGUGUCGUGAGAUGUUGGGUUAAGUCCACAACGAAGCCGCAGCCUUAAUGCAUUUGGUUGCUACGAAAGGGCACUCUAAUGAGACUGCCGGUGACAAACCGGAGGAAAGUGGGGAUGACGUCAAGUCCUCAUGGCCCUUGUAGGUGGGGCUUCACACGUCAUACAAUGGUCGGGACGGAGGGUCGCCAACCCGCGAGGAGCCGUCCAAGAAACCCGAUCGUAGUCGGAUCUUUUGAUCUGCAACUCGACUGCGUGAAGUCGGAAUCGCUAAUAGUAAUCGCGGAUCAGCAUGUCGCGGUGAAUACGUUCCCGGGUCUUGUACACCGCCCGUCACACCUCUUGGGAGUGGGUUUUACCCAGAAGUAGUUAGCCUAACCGUAAGGAGGGCGAUUACCACCGGUGAUUCAUGACUGGGGUGAAGUCAUCAACAAGGUAA